UACGUAGGGUGCGAGCGUUGUCCGGAAUUAUUGGGCGUAAAGGGCUCGUAGGCGGUUUGUCGCGUCGGGAGUGAAAUCCACUGGCUUAACUGGUGGCUUGCUUUCGAUACGGGCAGACUGGAGGUAUGCAGGGGGAGAACGGAAUUCCUGGGUGUAGCGGUGAAAUGCGCAGAUAUCAGGAGGAACACCGGUGGCGAAGGCGGUUCUCUGGGCAUGUCCUGACGCUGAGGAGCGAAAGUGUGGGGGAGCGAACAGG
RNAcentral lists this ribosomal RNA (256 nucleotides) under uncultured bacterium. Its description in RNAcentral is "partial 16S ribosomal RNA". It matches the Rfam family "Bacterial small subunit ribosomal RNA", at positions 524 to 776 of the family's 1533-position model. The record is from RNAcentral.